AGUCGCGAUGUCUCCUGUACCUGCAGACAGCGGUGUCGGCAAAACUGUGCCAACCGCUUAAUUUACGGCAGGAACGGAACGGCGUCGCCGAUAACGAACGGAAUUUCGCGGCACAUGAAAUUUUUCGGAGGACCCGUUUUGCACGAGUUUGACCUGGGACUUGACGAAUGAAUUCGCGACAACGAAGAUAAAUAAAACGAGCGCGUUCGGAAAACGCUGGCAGUUAUCUCGUGAGAUCCGUUCAAGCAGACUCCUCCAUGAGCGUCCCAUCGAUCCUAUCUCGGCGCACCCGUUUCACUAUACAAGAACGAUCCAACCGAUCUCUACAAGUCGAAUCAUACGCGCGCAGGUCCGAAUCAAUGACACCGCGAAAAAAGUAAUCGCUCCCCGCUCUUUCCGGCAGCUGCUGAAGAAGAAGAAGAAGAAGAAAAAGAAGUCCUCGAGUUCCACGUAAAAACGAGUUCCAUCGUGUGUCCGGUUUGGCAACGCCGAUGGUCCAUUCACCGUUAACCCCUGAGAUAGGUUUGCGGGAGCUCGAAGAUCACACCGGAAUCUACGCGCGAGGAGGAAGGCGGAGGGGAACAAAACUCGUUAUAUUCCCUAAAACCGAAGUCCCUGAGUCGAACAUACGAGCGUAUGAUGAUACCUGUAUGAGGCUUGCGUAAGCCUGUACCCGAUCGACUACCUGCCCGCAGCGAUGCCCGUUUGCCCGCUCGUCUGCCGGAACCACACCCCGGCACCUUUCUCGAAACCUGGCGCACCUGAAUCUAGCAAAGUGGCACGGAUUUCUGAAAUGCCAGGCAAGCACCGAUAAACCGCGAUAAAUGAUCCUGUCGCUGUACGCUAAUCGCCAAGAUAAGCUAAUUAAUUUUCAGUGUACGAGCUACUCUCUUCUUUUCAUGAAACGUUCGAUAAAUCGUGUACCUGGCCUGUAGCUUCAAAUUUCACUGUUUAUAUCGAUAAGUGGAAAUCCGACUCAAAAACGAUGUAAUGCUACAAAAAGUAUUUUCCAGAUAACAUUUAAAGAAGCAGCUAACAUUUAAAGAUACAGUAUUAUAUUACGUAUAUACUCAAUUCUUAAAGAUAUAACAUAUAGUUUUUUAACUGUAUAUACAUAUAAAAAAUUAAUAU
This is a long non-coding RNA of Wasmannia auropunctata (little fire ant), 1131 nucleotides long. RefSeq lists it as uncharacterized. The record is from RefSeq and is a predicted model, not a curated record. NCBI's taxonomy places the organism in Eukaryota, Metazoa, Arthropoda, Insecta, Hymenoptera, Formicidae. The transcript is spliced from 3 exons.